Molecule: ribosomal RNA, 528 nt
Filed under: uncultured bacterium
Lineage: Bacteria
Description: bacterial SSU rRNA
Rfam family: Bacterial small subunit ribosomal RNA
Source: RNAcentral
GCUCAACCGGGGAGGGUCAUUGGAAACUGGGAAACUUGAGUGCAGAAGAGGAGAGUGGAAUUCCACGUGUAGCGGUGAAAUGCGUAGAGAUGUGGAGGAACACCAGUGGCGAAGGCGACUCUCUGGUCUGUAACUGACGCUGAGGAGCGAAAGCGUGGGGAGCGAACAGGAUUAGAUACCCUGGUAGUCCACGCCGUAAACGAUGAGUGCUAAGUGUUAGGGGGUUUCCGCCCCUUAGUGCUGCAGCUAACGCAUUAAGCACUCCGCCUGGGGAGUACGGUCGCAAGACUGAAACUCAAAGGAAUUGACGGGGGCCCGCACAAGCGGUGGAGCAUGUGGUUUAAUUCGAAGCAACGCGAAGAACCUUACCAGGUCUUGACAUCCUCUGACAACCCUAGAGAUAGGGCUUUCCCUUCGGGGACAGAGUGACAGGUGGUGCAUGGUUGUCGUCAGCUCGUGUCGUGAGAUGUUGGGUUAAGUCCCGCAACGAGCGCAACCCUUGAUCUUAGUUGCCAGCAUUCGGUUGGG